CUUCCUUUUCUCUCUCAAUCAACACUUUCUUUUUCCUUAUGUUCCCUCGUAUCAUGUUCGUUUUCUCUUCUUUGCUCUUACUUUUCUUUUUUCUUCAAAUUUUCAUUUCCAGCUCUUAGCUAAACUUAUUUUGGAAAUGGGCGAUGUCGGACGAUUCUUGCUUCUCCGUCAGAAAUUGUAUCCGGUAAUUUCCAGCCUUAGACGGAUCGGGGCUACGAGGGGCUCGGAGGAAGCCACACACACUAUUUAUGUUAUAGUUUUGAUUAUUGCUUUUAAAUGUUUUUAUGUGGGUUGUAGUAAAGCCGUUGUAAUUUUUUGGAUUUCAAAUUUGGAAUUUUAUUUAUUGUUCUUAUAAUUGCUAGUAUUAGAACAUGAUUUUCCAAAGCAACUACUGUUGUUCAAAACAUCACGUAACCGCAAUUGUUUUUAAAUUAAGUGUCAGCAACUGCCAGGAUUUUUUUUACAAA
Long non-coding RNA from Gossypium arboreum, 467 nucleotides. RefSeq lists it as uncharacterized. Lineage: Eukaryota; Viridiplantae; Streptophyta; Magnoliopsida; Malvales; Malvaceae. The record is from RefSeq and is a predicted model, not a curated record. The transcript is spliced from 3 exons.